GAGAAGCCUUCGGGCUGAAACCGGCGCACGGGUGCGUAACGCGUAUACAAUCUGCCUUUCACAUAGGGAUAGCCCGAAGAAAUUUGGAUUAAUACCUAAUGGUAUAUAGGAGCGGCAUCGUUUUUAUAUUAAAGCUACGGUGGUGAAAGAUGAGUAUGCGUUCUAUUAGCUAGUUGGAGAGGUAACGGCUCCCCAAGGCGACGAUAGAUAGGGGUUCUGAGAGGGAUGUCCCCCACACUGGUACUGAGAUACGGACCAGACUCCUACGGGAGGCAGCAGUGAGGAAUAUUGGACAAUGGUCGGAAGACUGAUCCAGCCAUGCCGCGUGCAGGAUGAAGGUCCUAUGGAUUGUAAACUGCUUUUGUAAGGGAAGAAUAAGGGGUACGUGUACUUUGAUGACGGUACCUUACGAAUAAGCAUCGGCUAACUCCGUGCCAGCAGCCGCGGUAAUACGGAGGAUGCGAGCGUUAUCCGGAAUCAUUGGGUUUAAAGGGUCCGUAGGCGGGCUAAUAAGUCAGAGGUGAAAGCGUUCAGCUCAACUGAGCAACUGCCUUUGAAACUGUUAGUCUUGAAUGAUUGUGAAGUAGUUGGAAUGUGUAGUGUAGCGGUGAAAUGCUUAGAUAUUACACAGAACACCGAUAGCGAAGGCAUAUUACUAACAAUUUAUUGACGCUGAUGGACGAAAGCGUGGGGAGCGAACAGGAUUAGAUACCCUGGUAGUCCACGCUGUAAACGAUGGAUACUAGCUGUUUGGAGCAAUCCGAGUGGCUAAGCGAAAGUGAUAAGUAUCCCACCUGGAGUACG
This 804-nucleotide ribosomal RNA is filed under the name uncultured Bacteroidota bacterium. RNAcentral's name for it is "bacterial SSU rRNA". It matches the Rfam family "Bacterial small subunit ribosomal RNA", at positions 71 to 884 of the family's 1533-position model. Lineage: Bacteria; Pseudomonadati; Bacteroidota. The record is from RNAcentral.